Molecule: long non-coding RNA, 886 nt
Organism: Serinus canaria (Common canary)
Lineage: Eukaryota; Metazoa; Chordata; Aves; Passeriformes; Fringillidae
Source: Ensembl
GGGCUGGGAUCAACGGGGAUUGUACUGGGAACCACUGGCAACGGGCUGGGAAUCACUGGGGAUCGUGUUGGGAAUUGCCGGGGAUUGUGUCGGGAAUGGCCGGGAAUUCCCAGGAUUGGCGGGAGGAGCUGCCCUGGGCGGGGCCUGGGAGCUCCUGGAGCCGGUGGGGGGAGGGACACGGAGUGCUAGGGGAUCCCAAAUCCCAGGGGAUCCCAAAUCCCAGGAGGGAGCCAAAUCCCAGGGGAUCCCAAAUCCAAGGAGCCAAAUCCCAUGGGAUCCCAAAUCCAAGGAGCCAAAUCCCAGGGGAUCCCAAAUCCCACGGGAUCCCAGAGGGGACCCCCCGGGAAUCCCGAACCUUCCAGCCUGGGGUGAUCCCAAAUCCCCUGGGCUGGCUGGCUGGAUCCAUGGGAUCCCAGAGGAGCAGUCCCUCCCCAUCCCGCCGGGAAUUCCGAACCUUCCAGCCAGGAACGUCCCGCAUGAUCUUGGCCUCCUCCUCCAGGUUCUCCCGCAGCAUCCGGAGCAUCCUGAGGGGAAGGGAAGGGAAGGGAAGGGAAGGGAAGGGAAGGGAUCCAAGGCCCACACUCGGCACCCCCAUCCCAAACUCACAGUCCCAAAGGGAAGUUCCCAAUCCCAAAGGGAAAAUCCCAAUCUCACGGGAAAUUCCCAAUCCCAAAGGGAAGUUCCCAAUCCCAAGCAAAGUUCCCAAUCCCAAAGGAAAUUCCCAGUCCCAACGAGAAGUUCCUAACCCCAAGGGAAGUUCCCAAUCCCAAGGGAAAUCCCAAAUGAAAUUCCCAAUCCCACGGGAAGUUCCCAAUCCCAUAGAGGAAGUUCCCAAUCCCAAAUGAAAUUCCCAAUCCCAGGGAGUUCCCAUCCCGCACCUGCGGUC